GGNGCUUGCACCUCUUGAGAGCGGCGGANGGGUGAGUAAUGCCUAGGAAUCUGCCUGGUAGUGGGGGAUAACGUCCGGAAACGGACGCUAAUACCGCAUACGUCCUACGGGAGAAAGCAGGGGACCUUCGGGCCUUGCGCUAUCAGAUGAGCCUAGGUCGGAUUAGCUAGUUGGUGGGGUAAAGGCUCACCAAGGCGACGAUCCGUAACUGGUCUGAGAGGAUGAUCAGUCACACUGGAACUGAGACACGGUCCAGACUCCUACGGGAGGCAGCAGUGGGGAAUAUUGGACAAUGGGCGAAAGCCUGAUCCAGCCAUGCCGCGUGUGUGAAGAAGGUCUUCGGAUUGUAAAGCACUUUAAGUUGGGAGGAAGGGUCGUUACCUAAUACGUGGCGAUUUUGACGUUACCGACAGAAUAAGCACCGGCUAACUCUGUGCCAGCAGCCGCGGUAAUACAGAGGGUGCAAGCGUUAAUCGGAAUUACUGGGCGUAAAGCGCGCGUAGGUGGUUUGUUAAGUUGAAUGUGAAAGCCCCGGGCUCAACCUGGGAACUGCAUCCAAAACUGGCAAGCUAGAGUAGGGCAGAGGGUGGUGGAAUUUCCUGUGUAGCGGUGAAAUGCGUAGAUAUAGGAAGGAACACCAGUGGCGAAGGCGACCACCUGGGCUCAUACUGACACUGAGGUGCGAAAGCGUGGGGAGCAAACAGGAUUAGAUACCCUGGUAGUCCACGCCGUAAACGAUGUCAACUAGCCGUUGGAAUCCUUGAGAUUUUAGUGGCGCAGCUAACGCAUUAAGUUGACCGCCUGGGGAGUACGGCCGCAAGGUUAAAACUCAAAUGAAUUGACGGGGGCCCGCACAAGCGGUGGAGCAUGUGGUUUAAUUUCGAAGCAACGNGAAGAACCUUACCAGGCCUUGACAUCCAAUGAACUUUCCAGAGAUGGAUUGGUGCCUUNGGGAACAUUGAGACAGGUGCUGCAUGGCUGUCGUCAGCUNGUGUCGUGAGAUGUUGGGUUAAGUCCCGUAACGAGCGCAACCCUUGUCCUUAGUUACCAGCACGUUAAGGUGGGCACUUUAAGGAGACUGCCGGUGACAAACCGGAGGAAGGUGGGGAUGACGUCAAGUCAUCAUGGCCCUUACGGCCUGGGCUACACACGUGCUACAAUGGUCGGUACAGAGGGUUGCCAAGCCGCGAGGUGGAGCUAAUCUCACAAAAC
RNAcentral lists this ribosomal RNA (1212 nucleotides) under Pseudomonas sp. NT3. RNAcentral describes it as "bacterial SSU rRNA". It matches the Rfam family "Bacterial small subunit ribosomal RNA", at positions 75 to 1282 of the family's 1533-position model. Lineage: Bacteria; Pseudomonadati; Pseudomonadota; Gammaproteobacteria; Pseudomonadales; Pseudomonadaceae. The record is from RNAcentral.